This 897-nucleotide long non-coding RNA is filed under the name Homo sapiens (human). RNAcentral's name for it is "HSALNT0279871". Lineage: Eukaryota; Metazoa; Chordata; Mammalia; Primates; Hominidae. The record is from RNAcentral.
CUUAGCUUCCAGCUUGAAUAUACAGCCUUCAGCAGUUGCAUAAAUAAUACUCAAAGUUAUAGCAUUAAAAUUGCUUUCAGUUUUGGUGUAACCACUGCACAGUGCUUUUCAACAAGCUGAGCUUUCUUAGAUUUUGUCAUUGUUAUUCAUCAUACUCAGCCUGUGUCUGCUCAUGUCUAUAAACGAAGGCCAUCUUCAUGUGAUGAUUUGAUUGUAAUAGCAGGGUGGGCACUUCCCCACAAAACAGUGAAAUCAUCGUUGAUCCCCAUUACCAAAGACAUGAUGCUCCAGGACUGACUCGAUUUUUAAUCCAAAGGAUGGCUGGGCUCUUCUCAAGGAGCCUUGCUCUAGCUUCCCUGGGCUCUGAGGAAUGCCCAGCUACAUCAACCUUCAUAUUUCUCUGCAAGACACAGGAGUAUCCCAGAGAAGCUCCAAUAUCCUCAGAACAAAAGAGAUGGAGCCUAGGAUGGAUUCAAACUCCUGAGAUGAAAGAGUCCCCUGCCUUAGCCUCCCAAGCAGCAGGGACUACAGGUGCAUGUCACCUUGCCCAGCUCCUGCAAAAUUUGUUUGUAGCAAAGGACGUUUCCAUGUUCUAUCCCAUUAGGUAUCGAUCCUCUCAAUGAAGGCCUUUUUUUCAAUCUAAUAUUUGUGAUAUGGGUGUAUUUGGAUCCUGUAAAGCUAGCCGUACAAUGAUAACUUUGACACAAAAGUGUGGUGCUGUUUGGGGGUUUUGUUUGGGUGGAGGUGAGUGGACAGAGAAGUAACUUGGAAACGAUGUGUAGUAGUGAAGUCAAGCAGAGAGAAGGAUGUGAACAAGGUGGAACUAAAACCGUGUUCUGUUAUUAGGCACCAGAAUCUAAGCUAUGCCAAAUUAAAUGCAAAUAAAAUAGUCUGAGG